This 1372-nucleotide ribosomal RNA is filed under the name uncultured bacterium. RNAcentral's name for it is "bacterial SSU rRNA". It matches the Rfam family "Bacterial small subunit ribosomal RNA", at positions 28 to 1381 of the family's 1533-position model. The record is from RNAcentral.
GAUGAACGCUGGCGGCGUGCCUAAUACAUGCAAGUCGAGCGAACGGACGAGAAGCUUGCUUCUCUGAUGUUAGCGGCGGACGGGUGAGUAACACGUGGAUAACCUACCUAUAAGACUGGGAUAACUUCGGGAAACCGGAGCUAAUACCGGAUAAUAUUUUGAACCGCAUGGUUCAAAAGUGAAAGACGGUCUUGCUGUCACUUAUAGAUGGAUCCGCGCUGCAUUAGCUAGUUGGUAAGGUAACGGCUUACCAAGGCAACGAUGCAUAGCCGACCUGAGAGGGUGAUCGGCCACACUGGAACUGAGACACGGUCCAGACUCCUACGGGAGGCAGCAGUAGGGAAUCUUCCGCAAUGGGCGAAAGCCUGACGGAGCAACGCCGCGUGAGUGAUGAAGGUCUUCGGAUCGUAAAACUCUGUUAUUAGGGAAGAACAUAUGUGUAAGUAACUGUGCACAUCUUGACGGUACCUAAUCAGAAAGCCACGGCUAACUACGUGCCAGCAGCCGCGGUAAUACGUAGGUGGCAAGCGUUAUCCGGAAUUAUUGGGCGUAAAGCGCGCGUAGGCGGUUUUUUAAGUCUGAUGUGAAAGCCCACGGCUCAACCGUGGAGGGUCAUUGGAAACUGGAAAACUUGAGUGCAGAAGAGGAAAGUGGAAUUCCAUGUGUAGCGGUGAAAUGCGCAGAGAUAUGGAGGAACACCAGUGGCGAAGGCGACUUUCUGGUCUGUAACUGACGCUGAUGUGCGAAAGCGUGGGGAUCAAACAGGAUUAGAUGCCCUGGUAGUCCACGCCGUAAACGAUGAGUGCUAAGUGUUAGGGGGUUUCCGCCCCUUAGUGCUGCAGCUAACGCAUUAAGCACUCCGCCUGGGGAGUACGACCGCAAGGUUGAAACUCAAAGGAAUUGACGGGGACCCGCACAAGCGGUGGAGCAUGUGGUUUAAUUCGAAGCAACGCGAAGAACCUUACCAAAUCUUGACAUCCUUUGACAACUCUAGAGAUAGAGCCUUCCCCUUCGGGGGACAAAGUGACAGGUGGUGCAUGGUUGUCGCCAGCUCGUGUCGUGAGAUGUUGGGUUAAGUCCCGCAACGAGCGCAACCCUUAAGCUUAGUUGCCAUCAUUAAGUUGGGCACUCUAAGUUGACUGCCGGUGACAAACCGGAGGAAGGUGGGGAUGACGUCAAAUCAUCAUGCCCCUUAUGAUUUGGGCUACACACGUGCUACAAUGGACAAUACAAAGGGCAGCGAAACCGCGAGGUCAAGCAAAUCCCAUAAAGUUGUUCUCAGUUCGGAUUGUAGUCUGCAACUCGACUACAUGAAGCUGGAAUGGCUAGUAAUCGUAGAUCAGCAUGCUACGGUGAAUACGUUCCCGGGUCU